UACUUUGCAUGGGAGUGGUGUCCGGUGCGGUGCAAAUCAGAAUAUGGUUCUUACCUUUGAAGAACAGCACAGCACAAGGCUAACUGAAUCUCUACUUUAUGGAAGAAAAAGCAUCUCUCUAGUGGCCGAAGGAAUCCGCAAAUGCAGAGGAAGCAUACAACGAAUCACAUUCACGCAUGCAGAGAUGCUUUAUCAUUAUUAUUAUUCUCCGAUUAGAGGAGCGUCACUUUCAAACCUCAAGUCUUGUCAUAUCAACAAACAGAAACCAAUCCACCUUAUAUAUCUCUGCACAAUGCGGAUCCCCUCGCUUCACAACAACCAGGGGAUUUUCAAUUCCUGCCUGACACCAUGAGCGGCCCCCUCUACGAUCACCGGCGACUUCCUCCGCCACCACGGCAUCCAAUUCCUCUGCAAAGAGGAGGCUUCAUUCCGGGGUUUCAGGGGCGCUGGAUCUGAAAAUUUUGAUGAAAUUUAAUCCAUUGCAGAUGGAGGUUUCCUGGAUCCGGUGAUAUUCAUGGAUGAAAGAACACCUUUAGGAUAUGGCAGGUAAGGGUAAAGCAAAGGCCGAGGGCGAGGAUCGUUCCAUUUAGCAGCCGGCCGCGUUGGUAAGGUGUACAGUUAGCUGCCCCCGUCAUCUCUGAUGUUUUGCUAGAGUCGCUGUCUUUUAUUUUUGACUGUGCCAGGUUGUCAUUUGUACCUCCUAUUGUUGGCACAGGGUCUGUAUGUAUUUUUAUAUACUUCAUGACCGCUGUAUCAGCGGGGUGCUUGUGGGCAUGCAUGUUUACCGUUUUGCUUC
This is a long non-coding RNA of Diospyros lotus (date-plum), 796 nucleotides long. RefSeq lists it as uncharacterized. Lineage: Eukaryota; Viridiplantae; Streptophyta; Magnoliopsida; Ericales; Ebenaceae. The record is from RefSeq and is a predicted model, not a curated record. The transcript has 4 exons.